UGUUGAGGCAAAAUUAGAUUUUCAGGCUUGUCUGUGGAAGAAGAAAGAGUCAGGACAUUGACUGUUUGUCAAAUAACAGGCUUUAAUACAAAGCUUUGGAC
Thalassophryne amazonica is the source of this 101-nucleotide long non-coding RNA. RefSeq lists it as uncharacterized. NCBI's taxonomy places the organism in Eukaryota, Metazoa, Chordata, Actinopteri, Batrachoidiformes, Batrachoididae. The transcript is spliced from 3 exons. The record is from RefSeq and is a predicted model, not a curated record.